AAUAUGAGCCAGUUAUUGUCGACACAGACUACAUUUACACAUCUACCUCCAUAAACAUCGAGUUUAGGUCAGAGGUAUGGCCUGUAUGCGACGAUUUUUCCAAGUUAUGGACAGUCGAUGUUUCCUCAUUCGCAGCCAAGGAGCCUGCCAUUAUGGUCGGUGGUGAGAAGAAGAGCCCAAAUAGCUUGUUUAAGAUAGAAGAAGCUACAGGAGCACACACUUACAAGUUGACCACCUCAUCUGGAACCAUUGGAGCCACCCUAGGGGCUAUCUCACAUGCACCACAGCUACUUGUCACCAAUGAUGAGUCUAAGACCUUAUUCGUCAAGUUCGUGAAGGUUGAUGAUGAUGCUACUAAGGCUACUACUUCUACUUCACGUGUUGAGAAGUUAGGUCUAAGGAUGUUCCCAUUCUACUAGUCAAGAGAUCAUGUAAUAUUGUAAAAAGCCCGAGACUCGUCCAUGGCCAUGAGUAAUGGGUUGAGAUAACACCCGCACGCAUGUAUGUGAACUCGUCUUUACCUUCAUAACAAAUCAAAUAAAUUUGUGUUUCCGGAGCUUUAUGUGAUAUAACUUUACACUUUAUAAAAAUCCAGUAGUCCUAAAUUCUAAUGACCCUAUUUCCGUCGCUUGUGAUAAAUGUAAAGUUUUUUUAUUUUUGAACAAAUAUUUGAAACUAUUGGGGGUCUUUGGCCGGCGUCUAUUAAUAUACAAGUAAUAGCAGAGAAAAUCUUGAUUGUGAGUUUUCUGUCGUCACCUAUUUGUUUCCUUGUGAAAAUGUAGAAAUCAUUUUGUGAUUCUUGUUUUAGCUAGUAAUUUUUUUCUAUAAAUUUAGAGAAACGAUUGUGACCAAAAACAAAGAUAAGGAUGUAAACAACCAUUCAUACAUCCUUAUCUCUCUGCAUUUAAACCUUAUCUUCUUCCCAUGAGUUAUUGGUAGUGUUAUCGUUCGUCUUUAAUUUGUAUGUUAGCUACGAUAUGUGAAUGGGAGAAAAGAGGGCUUACCGGUAAUCUCCCAUUCCCGCCGUCGAGUGAACUUUGAACUUUAUAAUUUCUUUCCUUAAGCUUUACAAUAGACCCUUACAAGACUUAUAUACAGAGGACUACUAGGGUUUUAGGAACAAUCUAGAUCUUAGUGUAAACCUUAUCUAUCCAGCUAAGACCUAUUGCUUUACACCUCAAAGCGACUGUGGGGGAGCAAGCUCGUCGUUCCCGUACACGCUCCUCUGUCUGUAGCAUAUGACCGUUGUGGUGAGAAGGAGAGGAGCUUAUUGGGUCUCACUUCAGCUGCAUUGGCUUGGGCUUGGGCUUCGUUGUCCUUAUGCCCCAAAGACUUCCAUUCACUAAUAUUCCCCCUCAAACCAGAGGUGGGUGGAGCACCAACUCCUAGUUUGGCACGCAGCUGCAUGAAAGCUCCCUUUGGCAAAGACUUUGUGAAGAUAUCUGCAAUUUGUAGAGUUGCAAGGAUAUGUCUUGUUUCUAUCAAACCCAAAGCCAUUUUCUCCCUUAUAUAAUGAUAAUCCGUAUCAAAGUGUUUGGACCUCUUGUGUAGAGCCGGGUUAGCACUUAGAUUGACGGCUGAUACGUUGUCACACAACAGCAAAGUAGACUGAGGUUGAGCAAUGCCUAGAUCACGCAGGAGGAAAGAUAUCCACGCAAUCUCCUGAGUUGUAGCCCCUAAAGCUCUGUAUUCAGCCUCUGUAGAUGAUCUUGAAACUGUUGCUUGUCUCUUUGCUGACCAAGAGAUGAAAUUUGGCCCUAGCAGUGUACAAAAGCCAGUUGUAGAUCUUCUUGUCUCUUUACAGCCUGCCCAAUCAGUGUCACAAUAGGCUGAGAGUUGAAGUUGCUCUCCCUCUCCCUUUUGAAUGUAUAAACCAAGCGUUUGAGUGCCUUUGAGAUAUCGUAGGAUGCGUUUUAGAAAUCCAAAAUCAGCUGUAGUAGGCGAAUGCAUCCUCUGACAUACAAAGUUCACUGCAUACUGUAUGUCAGGCCUUGUGAUUGUUAGGUACUGAAGCUUACCUGCCACACUCCGAAAGUAAGUAGGCUCUAAGAACCGUUCUGAUUCUUCAUAGUCUGGUGUUAACGGAAGCGGUGUUGGCAUUGGGUUACAGUCAGUCAUUGACGUAAGAUGAAGUAUCUCCUUGACAUAUGCUGACUGAUGAAAAAACAUUCCCCUUCCGUAGAUUGUAGCUCAAUACCAAGAAAAUAGCUUGGCUGACCAAGAUCUUUCAUUGGAAAACGUUUUCCUAAUGACUCCACAAGUGGUAGUAACAGAGUUUCAUCACUGCCAGUCAACAGAAUGUCAUCCGCAUAGAGUAAUAACACCAUUGUCUUCUGUUGUCCUUAUGGCCCAAAGACUUCCAUUCACUAAUACGAUACACCACUGUGCAUGUUCCUCGUGCUGAAAAUUGAAAUUUGAAUCAGUUACCGUAGAGUCUAGAAACCAAUCGAUGUCAUGGUAAUGAUCAUAAUGUGAGAAGAGGAAAGAGCCAAAAACGUAUUUAAAGCUGAUAGAUACCUUUCGGUUUUUGUUUAGCACAUAUGUUUUUUUACUGUCACACCACGCAGUUUUAAAUUUAACCGCAUAAACUUCCUAUAAAAACGAGUAAUGAUGCCCUAAGCUCGACGUGUCUUCCAAGGCAAUCAUUGGAGGCAGUUGAAUGCUUAUCAUUUGGAACACGACAGCAGAGAAAAGUUUCUGAUCGAUACCUUCACAUUCACAUAGGUCAAAACCCGAACUCAUUUGUAACAGAGAAGACUCGAUCGAUACUCGUUUUUUUCAUGAAGGCAGUCGUUAAAGGCAAUUGUGCUUGCUGAUCUUUGGCUUAUGGUCCUUCGUGUACUCCCAGAACCAAAGUUUUGUUGAGAGAGAGAGAGAACGAGACACAACUUCAUUAAUUGGUUUAUUUACAUAUAAAGAUUUGGUGAUGAGUUCCAUAAAUGAACAAAAAUAUCAAAAGAUUGGGACUUUUAUUUUUUUUCAAUAUCCUCCAACUAGAUUACAAAGUAGCUGCUGUUACGUAGUACGUACAUCAACUAUAUUCUUAUGUAGAAAAUACCUUAGAAAAAGCUAAGCGGCGAAGCCGAGAAAAGCUAAUCUUAUAAUAUGAUUAAAACAUUGAAAAGAAUCGUCCAUUUUACAGAAAUAGAAAAAUCUCAAGUGUUUGACCCAAGAAAAAAAAAAAAAAAAAUCUCAAGUGCAUACGUGAUUCUCACUGGAGCAACCAAGGACCACAGGGACAUGUGUCUUGCAACUGUGUAAUUCUUGAUGCCGUAUGCGUGAUUCUAAUCUCCGAAAACUGAGGAUAUGGUCCACAAAUGAUAGACAUUGUUUUUACUCUUCCUUGUCUUGGCUUCCUGUCGUUCUCUGGUUAUAAAUCUUGAUUGUGAAUUUUCUGUCGUCACUUAUUUGUUUGCUUGUAGAAAUCAUUUUGUGAUUCUUGUUUUAGCUAAUAAUUUUUUUAUAAAUAAAAUUUAGAUAAACGAUUGUGGCUAGAAACAAAGAUGUUAACAUUCAUUUGUUCCUUGUUUCACUCAUUCCUUAUCUCUCUGCUCUGAAAUCUUAUCUUCUUCCCAUUGUUAAAAAAAGAAAUUAAAAAAAAAAAAAUUUUAAAAAAGCUGAUAGAUACCUUUAGAGCAUCAUUAUCUUAGAGACCCCUUAAUUAAUUUUUAAUACUAUUUAAAUAGUAAAUUUGGUUAAGAGAUUUAGUUAAGAAAUUUCAACUUUUAUGUCCUCCUUCAUUGUAAAGUCUCUUAUUUACGGGUUCUUAAAAAAAAAAAAAACCAAAUGAGAGAGCUUCAAGUGAUAAAGGAGAGAGCUUUCAUUACACAAACCUUAGAGACAACAUGCUUUCAAAACAGACGCAAAGCUAAUAGAAUUCAUGAAGCAAUCAAAUAUGUUUGCAUGAUGAGAAGAGCAGUCUACAUACCCGUAAGCGAGCAACCUCUCCAAUUUGCAUUCCGAUAACGCCUUCAUCCCAUCCUGUAAGCAAAAGAUUUCAACAAUUUUAAAUUCAUAUUAGCUCUUGUUAUGGAAAGAAUAACAGAACCAUAACAAUAUGAUCAAACCACAAAACAGAGGAAAAUAUUAACUUUGAUGACAGCACGUUUACCGAUUUGGAAGGAGAAAGGCUUUUGCCCAGCGUCCUUUGUGUUAUUCAUAUACCAAAGUCCAAACACACAUUUAGGCUUAACGAAAUAACAAAAUUAACAAGAAAAGACAAAACCAUAAAGCAACAAUGUGUGUGAGAUGAUCUUUUUACCUCCAGAACUGCUGGGAUGUAUCACCACCUUUCCCUGAAACAAAACACAAAGCAUUACAAAUUACGAUUUCGAAACAAAGGGCAUAUAUAGAGAGUUUCAAUCUCAUACAAGAAACUUGUAUUAUUAUUAUUAGAUAAUUAAGCUUACUACUCCAAGAGGUCGAUUUAUUAUUAGAUCACCACCAGUUCAUCAACAAGUUCUCACACACAUACUCACUCUGAUCUCAGAACAUAAACCCUAAUUAAAUAGAUUUCUCCAGAAAGUAAUCGAACACAAAUAGCGAAACAUCCAACCACUACCACAUCAGCUGAGCAGAAUUUUUUUGUAAGAUCGAUUUUUCCUACAAUGGGAAGUUUCAAAGAUAAAGAGAGGUUUACCGAAUCCGGUGCAGUGAACGGUGACGGUUUGACCCGGGGCGGGUUUGGGACCGGUCCCGGGUCUGAUGAUUUGUUUCUCCGCUCCGUUGCCGGCGGCGCCAUCUCUCUCUCUCGCUGCGAAUUGGGAGAAACUGAAGAAGAGCUAAGUCGGGGAAGAAGGAGAGCAAAAGUCGCAAAAAGGGACGCAUGUUCGUAAGAUCCGUCUCUUGUAGUCUCCAAAUAAGAGACGUGUCUUCACAUAUAAGCUAAUUUUCUUUUAUUUUAAUUCCUAAAUAACAUAAGAACCCCAGCUAAAUACGGUGGAUAAAGAUGCUCUUAGACCAUGAUUAUCGGUGGUUUUUAAAGGGGUCCAUAAAGAAAAAUGGUGAUUUAAUUAAAUCCAAGCAAAAUUAAAAGAGAGUUAUCGAUCCUUAAGAGCAACUUCAAUGGUGUUACCCACCAUUGGAGUCCGUAGGAUUAUAAUAGUAUUUUUUAUGCUUUUUGAAUAGUUAAGGAUUUGAGUCUAAAAUGUAUGCCCAAUGGUGUUACUCAAAAUGAAAUCCUUAGGAAUUUAAAAUUAUGGCUGGGUUUUUCACUAUCGCAAAUCGAGCUUGCAAUACACCAAAAGCACGCUCCACAUCUUUUCGGGUAGCUUCUUGAACUUUAGCAAAUAACUCUGCUUUAGGACCUUGAGGGAGUGUGAUAGAUUGGAUAAAUGUUGACCAUUUUGGAUAUAUACCGUCCGUGAGGUAGUACGCCAAAUCAUAUUGGUGUCCGUUGACCAUGUACGUUACCCUUGGAGCUCGACCUUCAUAAAUGUCAUCAAAUACAGGUGAUCGAUCAAGGACGUUAAUAUCGUUUAAGGUACCUGGAGAACCGAAAUAAGCGUGCCAUAUCCAAAGAUCUUGUGACGCUACAGCCUCCAAAACAAGUGUCGGCUUUCCUGAUCCACGGGUGUAUUGUCCUUUCCAAGCGGUUGGGCAAUUUUUCCAUUCCCAAUGCAUACAGUCGAUGCUUCCAAUCAUCCCCGGAAAGCCGCAGAUCUCUCCAAUAUCGAGUAAACGUUGAAGAUCCUCAGGAAUGGGUCUCCAUAGAUAUUCUUCUCCAAAUAAUAGAAUGACGGCAUCUGUGAAAUGGGUUAAACAUGAAAGUGCGAUGCUUUCACCGAGUCGGAGAUACUCGUCGACGGCGUCAGCCACACAGCCAUAAGCAAGCAUACGAAUAGCCGCCGUACACUUUUGUAGUGUAGAUAGACCCAACCGUCCGACCGCAUCUCUCCUUUGCUGAAAGAAUGGAACAUUUGCUGAGAGGGUGUCGAUAAUACGCAUGAAUACUUGCUUGUUCAUGCGAAAACGACGUCUGAAUAAAUUUUCCGGAAAUGACGGAUUUUCACUAAAAUAGUCAUUCCAUAGACGGUUAUGGCCCGCUUCGCGGUUUCGUUCGACAUAUGCACGUUUCUUCUUUUUAUCUGCUUGAUUCUCCACGAUGUUGUUGUAUGUGUCUUCAAAAUAUUCAUCAAAAGCCUCAUUGACAGCCGCAUCGAGUCUUCGGUCGACUUCAUCUGCCAUAUUUGCCUAUCCUUCCUUCAAAAAUUAUUUAGAUUAAUGAAGAAAACAUUUCAAUCUUACAAAAUUGUGUUUUAGCAUAUUUUUUAAAUCUAAAACCGUUCUCUACAAUUAUAGAAUGUGUUUUUCUAAAUCAUUAGCUCAAUUACUAGGAACACUUUAAAUUUAUGAAUACAAUUCUACAUGAAAUUUUAUAUUGAGGCUCAAUAAUGUUGUAGUUUAUCAUGUUGUCAAAAUUUUGAGGCGACAUAGAUGUAGAAAAGUCAGCAUACAAAAUGCAAAGCACGUAAAUAUUACAGGAUGCAGUGGGAUGAGUGGAGCCUUUUUGUGUAUCGAUUGAUUGUAAUGGUUGUUGUGUAUCGAGCCUUGUUUAUUAUUUUGGUUUGUAAAUAUGUAGUAGAAGGCAAAGAAGAGCAUAGGAAACAGAAAACACUAAAACAUCAUUUUACAUCCGUUUUUAAGACAAUACAAGGAAGAAGAAGCACACUUGGUUCACUAAACAUCCGAGUCUACAAAGAGACUUAUAAAGGCAACAUGGUACAUGACUUGGUCCACAUCAAAAUACAAACAGAAAGAUACAAAUAGCCCGUGACUUGGUUGAUUUCUAAAUAACAGGAGAAAGAGACAAACCACCCGUGACUGAAAAUACAAACAGAAAGAUACCAGCUUUAGUCUUCAACAAGCACAUGGUCUUGUACUUCACCUGAGACAGAGGAAAAUCACGUGUGUAAGCAGAGGAUAAUCACGUAUGUAAAAGUGAAAUGACAACUACACUUGAAACUAGUCUAAUGCAAACAUGUGAAACUAAGGUUAGAGCUAACAAACCCUACAACAACUCAGACAGAAGUUUCAUUUUGAGAGCUGAUUCCAUCUCAGAGAGAGGCUCAGACUUUGCAAGCAAACACUCUAGCAAACUUUGCUUUGAGAUUUGUUUUUUGAUCUCCAACAAAUUCUCAAGCUUUGCCAAUUCUUCUUCUUUUCCAGUUUUCUUCCUCUUUUUAGCAGCCUUCGCAGCCUUAACCCCAACUGGUCUCUCCUCUGGCUCUGGCACUGUCCCUUCGCCAUCAACAAGAUCCACUGGUUUGCGCUUUUCCUUCUCAAGAUAGGUGGAGCACCACUUCACAUCAUGCCUAAGCUCUCUCCACGCGUGUUCCAAGUUGAACUUCUGGUUCUGGUCGCUGUGGAAGAUAUCCAAGGCUGACUUCAUCACAUCGUUGUCAUUUUGCCCGCUCCUCUGCUCCCUCAGUGCCAUGUCGUAACAUCCAGCAAAUUUACAGACCAAAUCAUUGAUCCUAGCCCAUCUUUGCUUGCAUUGCCCAAGUUCUCGAGGGAUAGUCCCAACCAGAAGAGGACUAGCGUUGUAUUACUCUACAAUUCUCUUCUAGAAGGCUCCAGCUUUUUGUUCAUUACUCACUAUUGGGUCUUUGCUGGUGUUGAGCCACACACCUAUGAGGAUUACAUCCCCUUUCGGUGACCACUUUCUCCUCUCUUUGACACUAGACUCAUCACUACUUUGACCGGAAAAAAAAGGUUGUGAUGAGCCAAGGUCAAUUGACCCUUGGCUCGCUAAUAGGUUAACAUAACCAUUAUUAUUUGCCAUUUACGAAGAAGUCUGUGUUUCUCUUGUAGAAACACAGAGGAUUAAAUAAGGGAUUCUCCAUUAACAGCAUUGAAGCGUAGUGGAAAUCUGUCCUAUCAGAACAGCUCACGACCUUUAAAUGAAUGUUUUAGUCUAAAAAGAAGCAGUUAAGGCACAAUUUAAUGAUCGUUUCGUGGGAAUUUAAACUACGAAGUUAACCUUAUUUUCAAACUACAACGUUAACCAGUGAAAAUCCUAGUUUGGUUUCAAACUACAAGGAGACACACCCCACUAUCCUAGUUUGUUUUCAAACUACAGAGUUACACACACAUGAUCCUACUAAAUAUUUAAACUGUUGAUUUAAAGUGUUCAAAACACUAACCUCAGCGGACUCUCUCAAGUUCACACACACGCUCAAGAAGCAUCUUAACCUGAACAUGAAGAGACAUCAGAGACAAAACAAUAUGUUAGAAAGAUUGUAAAAAUUAGUUUCAACGUUAAGUAAGAAACUAACCUUAAGCGCCUCGCACUCGCGCAUGAGCUUCUCCUGCUCGAGAAACUUUAGGUUGAGCCUCUCAAUCUCUUGUUGCACACCCAUUACCCAUGGCUGCCUAAAAUGCAGCCCGUCGUUCUGCCAAAACAUAAAAUUCAUAAGCAAACAGCAAAACAAUUUGGAGUAUAAAGAGACAGAACAUUUCGAACCUGGUAGUCUGUGCAGAUGAAGUAUCUUUUCCUCGGGAUGUAAUCAUAUGUAUCAUCUUCGUCGACAAACUCCUUUGUGAUAGAUCCACAGGGGCACAGCUUCGGAAUUCCCUGUUGGGCAUCUGAAACGAAAUGAAGCAUGUUGUAGUACGCUUUGUGUGCUUUCAUGUCUCGCAGUUCGUCCUCCAUUUAGAACCUAAAAGAACAAAAAAAAUAUAAGCGAAUCAUCAAAAGCCCCAAAUUAUAAAACCCUAAAUCGAUUUAUAAAAGCCAACAUCGAAUGACAGCUCAAUCACGGACCCUUAAAUCCUCCAAAAUAACCAAGAACAAUAUCGAAAAGAAGAGAUUGGCAAACCCCGACAGAAACCCUAAUUCGAAUUUAAUCCCCAAUCGAUAAUGAAACCCGAAAUCUAUUGAAACCCAUGAAUCGAAUCCAUAAAAACAGGAGAAAUCUACAUGCAUCUACUCCAUAAGAAAGAAUAGUGAGUUUAAACGGUCGGAUUUGGCCGGAUUUACCUAAAACGAAGCAGAUCGCUGAAUCACCUUUGUCGUCGCCUUUAGAGAAGGAGAAGUUUUUUUUUAGCUCGAGCCGCGUAAAUGAAACUUUCCCUUCCCCCAUACGAAACGCAACGCUUCACCCCACCAAUCAGAUGUUGCCAGCUCAUUUAGGAUCAAAGCCAAAAAAUCCUUAUUUAAGGAUUCUUUCUUAGCGUAAGCUAAUUUAAUAAUAUUAUUUUCUCCUAAAUUGUACUUAGCGCUAAGGAAUAGGUUACAUCCCGCGUUGCAUGUGGUCUAACGGGGCACUUUGGUGACCGAUUUUAAGAACUACGUGUCAGUCCCACAGAUUUUUUUUUUCUUUUUUUCUUUUCUUUUCUAGUUGUUUCGUUUACUCCGUCACAUAAGAAGGAUCGAUACAGACGACGGAUUACGACUCCCUCGGUUGAGUCGACGUCUCCUCCGUAUCUUCAUUUGUUAUUGUUACCUUCGCGAAGGUCUUUUCGUUAAAGCUUCGAAAAGCGACGAUGGGUUUUGUUCAGCUCCUUCGAUCACUGAAUCAGACGAGAAGCCAAAACCCAUUUACUGGAAAAGUCACGAAUCCAACACUCUCUCCUUCACACCUCCGAGGUUCGAAAUGUUUUUCUUUACAACAAUCGUAGUCUCUAGCUUCGUGUCAUUGAAAGUUUGAUACUUUUGUCGCUUAACUUCUAUUUCUUGUUAGAGAUUGGUUUAGUGCUUAGUCUGACAGAAUUUCAAGCUCUUGUAUUGCUCUUAACUUCUAGAAGAUCAUAUUGGUGCUGACAUAGUAGAUAUGAAAGCUUGAAGUUCAAUUCUUUUGGAUACAGAUUCGUCUCUUUUAUAAAAGGUUGUCCCUUUCUGUAUAUUUAGAUUAGUUUUCUAAUUUAAAUUUGAUACCGAGCAUUCUGCAUUUGGAUGUUUGUUGUAGUUGUUUAAGUGAUGAAAAGCUCGUGACUUUUGGUUUCUCUUGUCAAAGCUGAUCCACAGACCAAACCUAUGGAUUCUCCACAGCUCUUGUCAAAAUUUAUUAUUCAUCGUUGUUCUAGUUUUGGAGAAUUGAGUUUAUAUUUUUUUUCCUGCAGGUCAUUUAUCAGAUUAAGCUACCAGGACCUGCAAUACUAGGAGAGGUAAUUUCAAUUGUUCAAUUUGUAUUUGUCAUCGUGGGUUAUGAUUGUUUAGUUGGUAAUCUGAUUCAUUAUCUUUGACACACUGAUACGUCCUUGAAUGUGGUCUAGUUCUGUUGCCUGUUAACAAGAGAGGACUGUUACAUUCCCCAAAACCUGAUCUCUGUCAGAAAGUAUCAAGCUUUGAGCUUGAUGAUUCUCUAGUUCAUUGUGUUCUUCCAAGAUUUGAGGUAAUUUAAAUAAAUGGGUUCUCACUAGUUUCCCAUUCUUCUUCUUCUGAUCUGUGCUUAUAUAGUGGUUUGAUCUUUUGUCUUUAAGGUAGAAGAUGGAGCAGUUCAAAGAGAGGAAGUUCGCAGAGAAUGUGGUAAAGGUUUCACUUCUUCUAAAGCUAUUUGUGGUCACAUGGCUUGUCACUUUGAGAGAGAGAAGAGGGUGUCAUGUUCUCAUUUUUUUUCAGGUCAAGAAGAGUGUAAAGUCAUCAGUCAUCAGUCACGGACUUGUGUAGUAAUCACUUGUGCAAUGCUUACGUACUAACUCUUGUAAUCUUGUAUUCUUGCAAACUCUUGUAGUCAUCAGUCAGGAGUUGUAAAGCUUUGUGUCUAUAUAAACUUGUGAACUCUUGUAGUCUUGUGAACUCUUGUAGUCUUGUCUAUAUAAACUUUGUAUACCAAACUUUUAUUCACAACACAACACUCUUCUUCAUUCAUCACACAUCUUCUUUCAAGUUCCUUCUCAAGUUUUUUUUUGAAAACAAGUUUCAUAAACAAGUUUAUAAACAAGUUUCCUUCGACUUGUAAACAAGUUUUAUAAAAAAAAAUUAUCUCAUGGUUUCUUUUUCUUAAAACACUUUUGAGGGAUCACUUGAUGAAAAUUUUGAUCAAACUUUUGAGAAUUUUUCCAUUCAUUUACCUUUGAAAAUUUUUCAAUUCAAGCUCGGAUUUUUUUUUCGAAUUAUUUUCGAUUAUUGUACUAAUCUUUGUUAUUAUGUAUUUUUUUAAAUCUAUGUUUUAAAUGUUAUCUUUUUAUAGGUUUUAUUUAAUAAAUAAAAUUUUAUUAAAAAUAAAUAAUUUUUUUUAGAACCCCUAAUUAAGAAACUCUCAUUGGACCGCUCAAAAUGGGAGUUUCUUAACUAGAGUUCUUAAUCUCACUUAAGUAUAUUUAAAAUAUUAAAUAAUCAUUAAGAAACCCACUUAAGGAUCAUGGGAUAAUCAUGCUCUUAGGUUUUAUUUACCACACGAUUUUUUUUGAACUGUCACAUGCACCACACAGUUUUAAAACUUAACCGCAGAAACUUCCUAUAAAUACCUGUACAAUGUGUGUUGCUCUCCACAACUCAACUCACUCAAAUCCUAAAAACACACACAAAAAAAGAAAUUAAAAAAUAAUGAAGAAUCCUUCGGUGACCUCUUUUCUCAUCACUCUCCUCUUGUCUGCAGCUGUCUGCGCCCACGGCACUACACAGAUCGACGGAACUCCAGUUAAGGUCGGGGAAAAAUAUUUCAUGCUGCCGGUUAAGACAGAGAAUAACGAUGGAGGUGGUCUUGUUCCAGCCGCCACCAACAUACUUCCCUCUUGUCCACUUGGCAUCACCCAAACACGUCUUCCGAACCAACGGGGCAUCCCCGUUAGCUUCCGAUAUACAGAAACUAUCGACAGAGACUACGUUACCACAGACACCUCUAUAAACAUCGAGUUCAUGUCGAUGACUCCUCAUCUGCCAUUAUCAUCGGUGGUAAACACAAGAGCCCAAAUAGCGCGUUUAAGAUACAAAAUGUUACGGUAGAAGAACACACUUAUAAGUUGACCACCUCAUACGGAACCGUUGGAACUACCCCACCGCAGCUACUUGUCACCAAUGAUGAGUCUAAGACCUUAGUUGUUCAGUUCGUGAAGGCUGAUGAUGAUGCUACUAAGGCUACUUCUCGUGUUGAAAAGUUAGGUCUAAGGAUGUUCCCAUUCUACUAGUCAAAGAUCAAGAUCAUGAAAUGUAAGAAUCCUUGAGAACUCGUCCAUGGCCAUGAUUAAAUGGGUUAUAGAUAAUACCCGCAGGUAUAUAUGUGAACUCGUCUUUACUUUCGUAAAUAAAUCUCAUGAAUUUGUGUGUUUUCAGCGCGUUAUGUAAAUACCCGCACGUAUGUAUGUGAACUCUGUCUUUACUUUCAGAGUAUAAGUUUAUGUUUUCCGGCGCUUUACGAGAUAUGUACCUUUUACAUUAAAACGAUAUCCGAUAAUCUAGUACUAAAUUCUCAUGACAUAUGCAUAUCACCAAUGAUCCUAAAUCUAUUUUGGGUAAACCUAACCUCUGUUUUUAAAAGCUCUGUUCAUCAAGAGUUACUAACAAGGUAUAUAUAAUAUAUAGGUUACUUUUACCUCAAGAAUCUCUAUUCUUCUUCUGUUUUAUCAAAAUCUUGAGUUUGUAUAAUGAUAUUCUUUUUUUUCUUUAAUUUUGUUACAACGAUGACUAUCCAUUUGAUUCAGCAUGAAUGCCUAACAAAAAGCUGGACAGCUCAAUGAUUAUUUCACCAAAAAGGAGAAAGCUAAAUCCAAUACUCUUCUUAAUCUACCAGGUUUAGAUGAUGUCUUAGUUAUCUGAUCCUCCAUUAGCCUCUCCACGUCUGGUCUCAUAUCAUGAACCAUUUUAACCGACUCAGAGAGACGGUUGAGCAAGUUCACCAGUGCAAUCACCUCAUUACGUUGCAGUUGAAGCUGGAAAAAAACAAUAUUUCAGAUAAUCAAAAUGCUUAUGUUCAAAACGAUGCAUAUACACAUUAAGAAACUCACUGUUUGGUCACCCUCCUUGUCUUGGUUUCCAACAGAGAAGAAUAUUUUCAAUGCUGUCCCUAGACCCUGAACCUGAAGCUUCCCCCAAAGCCGACAUUUUUCACAACCUACACAGUCCAUCAGUGCACUGCAAACACAUACAUAACUUAUGGUUAGCCGACAUAUUAAAGCUCUAUGAGUGUGUCGUUUUCAAGUAAACACAAACCUUAUAUUCCUGAAUUUUUUCUGGAUCUGCUGCUUCAGUUCAGGUCCACCUUGACCUUGCCACAGCUUAGCUUCAUCAAAAGGAACAGGACAUGCUGUUUGGAGUUUCGGACUGUACAACAACUGUUUGAUCAAGGACUGUGUUUUCAGAUCUUCCGCAUGGUUCCCUGUGUCAUACUCUGCUUGCUCCAAGUACUCUGUUGCCUAUACGUUGUAAGAGUCAGUAAAGCUUGUUCAGAUUUGGCAUUUGUCAAAGACCGACAGAAGAGAAGUUAAAGCACGCAGCACAAACAGAUACGUGAAGUACAUGUUUCUGACACGGUCCGGAUGCCUCAGAAUACGAUCAUACAUCAGCUCGAUGUUCUGUCCCCACUGGUUGCGUGACUCGUCAAGAAGAUAAUCACCAGCGAUGUGCGUGGGGAUUGAAGAAUGAAGACCUGAUAUCAGUUUGUACAAAACCUUUUUCUCUGGACAUGUUUCUCCAGACGAAUCUGCAUGUACAAACAUCAUCACAUUACAAGUCUUUCAUCUCACAAUACUAAAAAAAGCGAUGGAGAAGGAGAAACUCACAUUUUGGGCAGUUCUCUGAGUAUAUAGAGUCCCAAAUCCUUCUAGCAGAAGGUCCAGUGUAACCAGUUAAAUUAUGAAUGCAGUUUACAAACAAAAAACAAAAAAAAAGAAAAAAGAAAAAGGAAAAAUAAACACUUUCACUAUGAGAAACUUCACCAUUGCGCUUGUCCUUAACUAGUUUUAAAUCAGUAUCUUAUCAAUAAAGAAGUUGGAGAAAAUUAAACACUUUCGCUAUGAGAAAUUUGAAACUACUAACAAAUGUCAUGGUAAAGUGGUUCACUUAAGCCUUUUUACAUAGUGAAAGUGUUUAUUUUUCUUUUUUCUUUUUUUUUGUUUUUUGUUUGUAAACUGCAUUCAUAAUUUAGAUAAAAGUAUAAAUACUAUAAAAUUUAUGAAAAACUUUUUUCUGAGAUUCCCCAGCAACAAAAAAUGAUUUUUGUUACAACCGAAAAACAAUUUCGAACAUACUAUUGGUCUAACUGAUAAUUAUCUCGGGAAUACUAGAAACAAAUAAGAAAAAAUGGAUGAGAAUAAAAUUAUGGGAAUGAUAAAAAAUGAUAAUUCUAUAUCAAAUUUAGUGAAUUUGUUCUUUACUUUUCUACAAUAAAAAAAUGAGAAAUAGCGAAAGGAAAUAACUAUUCUUUAUGAAUUGGUAAAAUUUAUCAGGAAUAUUAAAGAACACAUUAUUCAUCUUCGUUCUUUUGUCACCAUCUAUAUGUUUUCCAACACAGUUAUACAAACUAAAAAUCCUAAUUUAAUUUGGAACAAAUUAAUAAAAUAAUACAAACUACACCCUGAUCCGCGCGCCAGCGGGGGUAUGAAUUUUCAGUUUUUAAUUAUUUAUUUUAUUAAAUGAUGUAUUUGUAAUAUUCGUUCAUAUUAUAUUCAUUAAGUAAAUAUUUUUUUUUUGCAUCUUAAACUAUCUAUUUUUUUACGAAUGUGUGAUAUCAUAUAAAAAAUAUAAAAAAAUGAGUAUAGAGUUAAUUAGAUAAUUUUAAAAACAGAAAUUUUUCUUUCAUGUGCGAUAUCAUAUAAAUAAUGAUCCGCCCAGUUAACAAAAAUCAUGAUUAUUUUAUGUGUAAUUUUUUUUAUUUUGACCAUUUCCUUAAAACUAUAUUAAAUUUUACAUAUUUUAAUUAGAAUAUUUUUAAUAUCUUUACCUUUUUAUUUGAAAUGCAACUCAAUAUUUUUUUAACAAUUAUAACAAAAUAUUUAAAAAAUAUUUUUAGAAUUUGUUUGAAAAAUAUGAAAAUUAGAUUUGAAAUUAAAAUUAUCCUAAAAUAUGAUAAGUUUUGAUGUAAACGAAAACUCAAAUUAUGUCAAAAAUAAUGAUAUUCAAUGAUAAUAACAAUUUUAAUUGAUUAUUUUUUUAAAAAUACAUUUACAAAAAUGAAAAUAUUAUAAUUAAAUAUAAAAAAUAUAAAUAAAAACCAUAAAUUUAGCAAAUGACAACUGAGUUAUAUUAUGCUAAAAUUUUCUUUCUAACAAUUUAUCAAAUGACAAAUAAGUUAUGAGCAAAUAAUACCAUAUAUUUUUUACAAACAUAGCCAUUCUUAAAUAUUUUAUGAAUAAAUAAUUAUUUUUAAAUUUAAUCAACUGAAAAUAAUAUCCGUACAAUUGUGUGAGUCAAAUUGUAGUUUUAUUGAUGCAUGUUAUAUAUUAGUGCUGCAUGUUUUAGGUAACAUUUUAAUGAUGCACGUUUUUAAAAAUCUCUAUUAUUAAAAUUAUGCACGUAAGGAUAACUCAUGAGUUUUUUUGGUUAAUUAAAAGACAUUAUGUCCAAAUUUAUUUAAAGAUAUUUCAUUAAGAUAAUUGAAAAAGACAAACAAUAAAAUAGGAAGUUUAAAUUCAUUUAAGCAUAUUUCAUUAAUGUAACUGAAAAGACAAGUAAUAAAUUAGGCAGUUUUAUUCGUUUUAGGACAUUUCAUAAAUGCAACUGAAAAAGACAAGCAAAAAAAAAAAGAAAUUUAAUUAAUGAAGUAAGAACAUUUUCAAAUGGAUACUUCUCUUUUAAUAAUAUAGAUAUAAUGAUUUCUUCACUGAAUUAUCUAAAUCAAAUACCAACGCUCUAUGAAUAUCUGGGCCGAUAGAUUUACAUGGUCAAGAGUAGGAAAUUACAAAUCAUCUUAUAUAUUAAAAUAGAAGUCAUGACUUCUUACAUGUGUGAUUUUUUUUUAAUUUGGACCAUCACUUAGAAAUCUUAUUAAACGUAUUUUAUUAAGACUAAUAAUACAUAGAAUCUUUAAAAUACUUUAAUCAUAAUAUCUUAUAUAUUAAAAUAGAAGUCAUGACUUCUUACAUGUGUGAUUUUUUUUUAAUUUGGACCAUCACUUAGAAAUCUUAUUAAACGUAUUUUAUUAAGACUAAUAAUACAUAGAAUCUUUAAAAUACUUUAAUCAUAAUAUCUUAUAUAUUAAAAUAGAAGUCAUGACUUCUUACAUGUGUGAUUUUUUUUUAAUUUGGACCAUCACUUAGAAAUCUUAUUAAACGUAUUUUAUUAAGACUAAUAAUACAUAGAAUCUUUAAAAUACUUUAAUCAUAAUAUAUUUUGAUAUCUUUUCAUUUUAAGUAUAAAUAUAUUUAUUUUAAACUUCUAACAAAUCUGUUUUAAAAGAUUUUUACAAGAUCUUCGUUUUCGAAAUUAUAUUUAAAUAUUUUCACUAAUUUUGAAAUUAGUUUGAAAUAUUAUUAUACAUUAAUAAAUUCAGUAAUCGUUUAUAAAAUAAAAAAUAAAAAAUUCUGUAAUAUUUUAUAUAUUAUAUAAUCAUAAUCAAUCAUAUUAAAAGAAAAUUAUUAUAUUAAGCUAAAUAUAAUAAAAUUAAAUUAAAUUUAUAAAUUUUAUAUAUUUUAUAUAUAUUAUUUUCGUAAGUAUAAAAUAUUUAUGUUCAAAAAUAAAAUCUAAUACGUUGGUAAGAUGGGUUAACAUUAGCAAACUAUAUAAUACAUGUAUAAAAAUUAACAUGUAUUUCUUUAAAGCUUAUAAUAUAAAAUAUUUGUAACUACUUUAACCAUAAUAUAUUUUCAUUUUAAAUAUAAUAUAUAUUUAUAUUUUAUAUUUUAAAAAUUAUAAUAAAUCUGUGUAAAAAUAUUUUAGCAAUAGUUUAAUGUAUUUUAAGUUAUCGUUCAUAAAAUGAAAAAUAAAUAAAUUAUAUCCUAUUAUAUCUAUUUUAUAGUCAUGAUCAUGUUAAAAUACAAUUACUAUACUUAAAUAAAUAUGAUAAAAGUAUAUUCAAUUGAUAAAUUUAUAAAUUUUAUUUUCAUAAAUAUAAAUUAUUUAUUUUAAAAAUAUAAUAUGAUGAUAGAACGGCUUAAAAUUAGCAAACCAUAUAAUACAUGUCUAAAAAUUAACAUAUCUUAGACUUUUGUAUAUACAAUAAUAUAUUAUCUAAAAUGAAUAAGCAUAAAAAAUAUUAGUAAAAAGAAAUACAGCUUUGAAACACGAAUCAUAAUUUAGCAUAAAUUAAAUGCAAAAUAAUUUUCAAAUAUGUUUUCUCAUGAAUAUAUUAAUUUGCUUAAUAACUAAUGCAAAUACAAUAAGAUAAAUAUAUAAUAAGAAAUUAAAAUACAUACGGUUUUAAACAGUUGAUUAAUUAUAACAUGUAAAUUAUAAAAUUAUUGUAUUUGAAAUAGUUAUAUAAACAUUUAAAUAGAUAAUUAAUAUUAAAAAUUUAUAUCUCUAAUAUUUUAAAAUAAUAAUUUAUGUAUAGAAAAGUGAGAACAAACAUCCGCGCAAAUCUAGUUUUCCUUAAUACAAUACUGACCGACGAAGACAAAGACGCCGGCUUUUGCCAACUCUUCGUCGAAACCCUAGAAGGACCGGCUCUUACUUGGUUCACCGGCCUCAUAGAAAACUCCGUCGACUGUUUCCACGACCUCUCAACGGCUUUCCAGAUAAUUAAUAUUAAAAAUUUAUAUCUCUAAUAUUUUAAAAUAAUAAUUUAUGUAUAGAAAAGUGAGAACAAACAUCCGCGCAAAUCUAGUUUUCCUUAAUACAAUAGUCCACUCGAUCAGCUAAAGAAAGCACGUUUGCUCGGACCGAGUUGGGCCGUUUGUCUUAUUAGUUACGAAGUUCUACACAACCCAGUUUAUUUUAGGAUCCCUAUUCGAUUGAUGCCCUAAUCUCGACGUGUCUUCCAAGGCAGUCACUAGAGGCAGUUGAAUGCUUAUUAUUUUGAACACGACAACAGAGAAGAGUUUCUGAUCGUUACAUAGGUCAAAACCGGAACUGAUAUGUAACAGAGAAGACUCGAUCGAUACUCGUUUUUUCAUGAAGGCAUCGUUGGAGGCAAUUGUGUGCUUGCUGAUCUUAGGCUUAUAUAUUGGUCGCGGCUUGGAACAAAGACAAACUUGCAGCAGGAUUGGGUUGGGUGUUCUCGGGACCAGGGUUCGAAGCUCCAAUCAACGGAUCGAUGGUUGAAUCAUCGAUCGGCUCACCACUAAUCGCAGAGGCCUCUGCAAUCAGAUCAACCCUUUGCAUGGCGAUCACCUUGGAAAUUGGUUCUCUCGAGGUGCUCUUCGACGACUUAAUGCUCAUUCGAGCAAUCUCCAGCAUCACUCAGGCGAAGGAAAUCAUCGGUAUAGUGAAAGACAUCCAAUCGAUAUCUACUGAGUUUGCAUCAAUUUCCUUUUCGCACAUCCCACAAUCUCUCAACGCUAUGGCUGAUGCCCUAGCCAAAGAUUCUCUUCGCUGUAAUAAACAUUUUGGGCUUGGGCCCCGCUGGGCUCAUUCUCCAUCUUUUAUUUAAUGAAGCCUUUUAUGUGACAAAAAAAGAGCUUAUAUAUUGGUCCUUCUUCAUGUACUCCCAGAAGCAAAGUUUUGUUGAGAGAUAGGACGAGCAGAGCCGGGCCUGACCACAAGCUGGUCAAGCAUGGGCUUGGGACCAAUAUCUAUAUAAUCAGUUUUGGGGGCCAAUUUGGCAACAGUCUCUGUUUGUUCAGUGGAUGAAUAGGUUGUUUCAUUUGUCAAGGUCAUGGGUUCAAGCCAGCUUAAUAAUAUUUUUGGGGCCAAAUUUUUUUUGACUGCUUCUAACCCUAGAAAAGUGCACGGCCUUGAGGACGAGACACAACUUCAUUUAUUGGUUUAUUUACAUAUAAGAUUUGGUGAUGAGUUUUAUAACAAUGAACAAAAAUAUCGUUAAGAUUGGGUCUUUUAGUUAUUUUCAAUAUCCUUCAGCUGAAUUACAAAGUAGCUAUUGUGUUGUUAAGUAUAGCCAUAGUGUAUAUUUGUGUAGAAAAUACCUGAGGAAAAGCUAAUAGGCGAAGCCAAGAAAAGCUAAUCUUAUGAUAUGAUUAAAACAUUGAAAAUAAUCGUCCAUUUUGCAGAAAAAAGAAAUCUCAAAUGCACACGUGAUUCUCACUGGAGAAUCCUUAAUGCCGUAUGUGUGAGGGUUUUAGUUUCAAGACAAAUACGGAUAUGGUCCACUGAUGCAUAAUGUUUCUGCAUCUUCCUCUCUUCAUAAGUAUAAUUCAUGGAGACCACGUUUUUGCUCUUCCUGGUCUUUGGUUCGUGUCGGUCUCUGGUUAUAAAUCUUGAUUGUGAAUUAUCUGUCGCCACUUAUGUGUCUGCUUGUAAAAGGGAGUGGUUACGUCCAGUAUGUCCCCCCUUCUUCCCGACAUGCUAUGGUGCCCCGGGGUGGGUAGGAGCGGGUCGAGUCCGUAUCGCCGCGGAGCAACAGCCGCGUCCGGAUCAGAUCUAUCUACUCGGCAAUUCAUCCGGUGACUUCACGGUCGCCAAAGAAGCCCCUGGUCUUUGGUUCGUGUCGGUCUCUGGUUAUAAAUCUUGAUUGUGAAUUAUCUGUCGCCACUUAUGUGUCUGCUUGUAAAAAUGUAAAAGUCAUUUUGUGAUUCUUGUUUUAGCUAAUAAAUUAUUUUUAUAGAUAUAGAGAAACGAUUGUGGCUAGAAACAAAAGAUGUUUAAAUUCAUUCGUACGUUGUUUUCACUCAUCCUUAUCUAAGUCUUGUCAUCGUUCGUCUUUGUUUUCUAUGUUAGUUACAAUGGACCACUGUGCAUUUUCCUCGUGCUAAAAAUUGAAAUUCAAAUCAGUUACCAUAGAGUCUAAAGCCUAAAACACCAUCUUCUCAACUCAGCCCUCCCUGUACUAGAAACAAACCCAUAUCACGGGAAUUCAAAUCAGUUACCUUUAGUCUUUUUUACCACACAGGAUUUUUACUGCCACAUGCACCACGCUGUUUUAAAUUUAACCGCAUAAACUUCCUAUAAAUACCCGUACGUUGUGUUUGCUCUCUUCAACUCAACUCACUCAAACCCCAAAACACACACAAAACAAUCAAAAUGAAGACUUUUUUUCUAGUUACUCUCCUGUUGGCUGCAGCUGUCUGCACCCACGGCAGAGAACAGGUGAAGGACUCCAACGGAAAUCCAGUUAAGCGCGGUGCAAAAUACUUCAUCCAGCCGGCUAAGAGCAACGCCGGUGGUCUUGUUCCAGCCGCCAUUAACUUACUUCCGUUUUGUCCACUUGGCAUCACCCAGACACUUCUUCCCUACCAACCGGGCCUGCCGGUUAGCUUCGGAUAUGAGCCAGUUAUUGUCGGCACAGACUACAUUUACACAUCUACCACAAUAAACAUCGAGUUCGAGUCCGACAUCUGGCCCGUAUGCAACGAGCUUUCCAAGUUAUGGGCAGUCGAUGUUUCCUCAUCCGCUGCCAAGGAGCCUGCCAUUAUCAUCGGUGGUGAAAGUACGGCCCCAAAUAGCUUGUUUAAGAUAGAAGAAGCUACAGAAGCAAACACUUACAAGUUGACCACCUCGUACGGAACCGUUGGAACCAUCCCAGGGCCAUGGUUAAGUGCACCACAGCUGAUUGUCACCAAUGAUGAGUCUAAGACCUUAUUCGUCAAGUUCGUGAAAGUUGAUGAUGCUGCUACUAAGGCUACUACUUCUACUUCACGUGUUGAGAAGUUAGGUCUAAAGAUGUUCCCAUUCUACUAGUCAAAAUCAUGUAAUAUUGUAAAAAUCCUGAGACUCGUCCAUGGCCAUGAAUAACGGGUUGAGAUAAUACCCGCACGUAUGUAUGUAAGCUCGUUUUUACUUUCAGAAAAAUCAAAUAAUUUGUGUAUCCGACGCUUCAUGAGACAUACCUUUUACAUUAAAACCAUAUCCGAUAAUCUAGUUCUAAAUUUUCCUGACAUAUCAGCAAAGAUCCUAAAUCCGUUUUUGGUUAAACCUAACCAAUCAAAGUUACACCGUUCAUGAUAUGUAGUCGAUAUAUCCAGAGUUCCAAUCAAGUUUCUCGAAUUUUAUGAAAAACUAUUGUAGCUCUUCUAAAUGACAUUUCAAAAAUCCCAAAUUUCACCAGUAAAAAUUUAGGUCUGGGCGUUCGGGUCUUCGGGUUGGGUUCGGGCCGGUUCUUUUCGGGUCCGGGUCUUUUCGGAUCCUAAAUAUUUAGAUCCAAUAGGUACUUAGAAAUUUUUGGUUCAGGUUCAGGUCGGUUCUUCUCGGGUCCGGAUCUGUUCGGAUCUAUAAUUAAAAUACCCAUAAAAUACCCAUAAUUUUUCGGGUCCAUAUCGGGUCGGGUUCGGGUAUUUAGGAUCUGAAAAAGACAUGAUAUACCCAUAAAAUACCCGUAAAGCUUUAUAUUACUUAAAAAAUGUUAAAAAAUAACAAAUGUUGUUCGCAAAAUAUAUUUCAACUAAAUCAUAAAAUAAUACAUACAAAAUAGAACACAAAAAAUCAUAUUUUUAGAUAUACAUGUUUUUAAGUCGGGUACAAAUCGGUUCUUAUUGGGUCGGGUCUAUUCGGGUCGGUUCCUUUUCGGUUCCGGUUCCAAUUCAAUGUGCUUCGUUCUUCCAUGGAACACUGGAUUACUGGCCAGCUUGAUAGCACUUUGAUUAUCUUCAUAGAUGGUAAUCGAUUUAUUGAUUGGCUCGAACAAUUCUUCAAAGAGUCUUCGAAGCCAUAUACAUUCUUGGGCUGCGAGUGUUGAAGCUUUAUACUCUGCUUUGGUAGUAAACAAUGACACCGUUACUUGCUUCUUACUGCACCAUGAAAUGCUUGUGUCUCCACAUAAGAACACAAAACCCGAAGUUGAUUUUCGAUCAUCUAAAUCUCCACCAAAGUCAGCAUCUGUGAAACCAUAUAGAGAAACCUUGGCAUUAUACUUGUACAUCAGUCCCAUGCCAAGAGUUGUCUUCACAUACUUAAAUUUCUUCUUUGCCGCUUCUAGAUGUGGCUUCCUUGGUUCCUGCAUGAACCGGCUUACAAGACUAACCGCAAAGGCAAUAUCUGGUCUUGUAAUGGUUAAGUAUAGAAGACUUCCAACAAGAGAGCGAUAAGGUCGAGGAUUGGCUAACAAGGAUCCUUCAUCGCGUUUGAGCCUUAUGUUAGUAUCUAGUGGAGUAGAACGUACCUUUCCUUGGUGUACUCCAAACCUGUCAACAAUCCUUUUUGCAUAACCUUGUUGGCCGAUGAAUAUUCCAUCCUUUACCCUCUCGACCUCUAGACCAAGAAAGUGAUUCAGCUCGCCUAACUUCUUCAUCUCAAACCUCACCGACAUAUCCUCUUGUAGACGAGCAAUUUCAGCAUCGUCAUUUCCAGUAAUGAUCAUAUCAUCCACGUAGAGGAGAACUACUACAUGAACUCUUCCACUUCUCUUGAAGAAUAGGCUUGGAUCAGCACUUGAUGCAAUAUAACCGCAAAACUGAAGGAAUUGAGCAAGCUUUCCAUACCAAGCUCGUGGAGCUUGUUUUAACCCGUACAAGGCCUUCUUUAGCUUGCACACAUGGUUAGGAUACUCUUGUGAUUCAAAACCAGGUGGUUGCUCCAUAAAUACUUCUUUAUCAAGCUCACCAUAGAGAAAAACAUUCUUCACAUCUAACUGCCAUAAUUUCCAUCCAAAGCUUGCAGCUAAAGAUAAGAGUGAGCGUACCGUAGUCAUCUUUGCUAUUGUCUGAAGGUCUCAUCAUAAUCUUCUCCGUACUUCUGAGAGAACCCUUGAGCAACCAACCUUGCUUUGUAUCUAUCAAUGCUCCCAUCUGAUUUUCGCUUUAGUCGAUACACCCAUUUACAAGAAACAGGCUGAGCAUCCUUGGGUUUCGGAACCAAAUUCCAAGUUUUGAUUUUCAUGAGAGCAUUAAUCUCCUCCUUCAUUGCGAUCAUCUAUUCCUCAACUCCUUUUGAUUUUUCAUAAGAUGAUGGUUCAUUUUCAUCUAGAGGAGCCGCAAAGUAACAAGAGUAAUUGGUGACGAACCUUUCAUCUCUGAACCGAGCGGGUUUGACAAUGUUCCUUUUUGAUCGUUGAUUGGCGACAGAACCAUGAUCAUGCUCUUCUUCGUCGUGGUCAAGUGCAUACGUGAUUCUCACUGGAGCAACCAAGGACCAGAGUAUAAGGGACAUGUGUCUUGCAACUGUGUAAUCCUUGAUGCCGUAUGUGUGAUUCUAAUCUCCGGAAACUGAGGAUAUGGUCCACUAAUGAUAGACAUUGUUUUUACUCGCUUCCUGUCGUUCUCUGGUUAUAAAUCUUGAUUGUGAAUUUUCUGUCGUCACUUAUUUGUUUGCUUGUAGAAAUCAUUUUGUGAUACUUGUUUUAGCUAAUAAUUUUUUUAAAAAUAAAAUUUAGAUAAACGAUUGUGGCUAGAAGCAAAGAUGUUGACAUUCAUUUGUUCGUUGUUUCACUCAUUCCUUAUCUAUCUGCUAUGAAAUCUUAUCUUCUUCCCAUGAGUUAUGGUUCGUCUUUGUUUUCUAUGCUAGUUCGUCGUGCUAAAAAAUCGAAGUUCCGAUCAGUUACCGUAGAUGGGGAAUAAAGAGCCAAAAAAGUAUUUAAAGCUGAUAGAUACCUUUAGGUUUUAUUUACCACAGGAUUUUUUUUGAACUGUCACAUGCACCACACAGUUUUAAAACUUAACCGCAGAAUCAGAUCUCUUAGAAAUACAAAGAGUUUAUAAGAACAACUUUUCUUAUUAGCUUUAGAAACUACUCAAAACUAAAGCUCUCAAUAUGUUUCUCUCAGAUCAUAUGGAACACCUCUCCAUUAGACCUAUAUUUAUAUGAAAGAAAAUUCCCUUUAACAUGUGGGAUAUGGAAAACACAAACCUAACUUAAAUAGAAACUUCCUUUUCCUAUUUCUAGGUUUCCUUAUUGUGUUUAUCUUAACAUAUUAAACAUCUAAUAAUAUGUUAAGUUUCCACAAGCUUGGAAUUAUCCAACAUUCACCCCCUUAAUUCCAACUUGAAUUAGGGAGAUCAAUUUCUUGAACUCCGAUUAAGCUCCUCAUUUGCUUGAACUCAAUCAUCAAGUAAUCAUCCUCCACCACACCAUGGUGUGCGAAUCCACCCAUUGAAUUCACAUCUUUCUCAAGGUUAGACCGGAUGCUCUCCUCGCUUCCGUACCGCCUCUUCUUAGAAUUGGCCCAGUUCUUGUAGAACCUUCUCCUGACCUCUUCACUUAAGUUGCGAUGAGUCUUGUGGCUGAAGCUCACUGCGACGAUAACUCUGGUCACGUCCGCCAUCUUGCGUACGUGAGCUCUGGUAAGGAUGUCGGCCUUCUGCUCAACACAAGUGAUUCAGUCGAUACAGAGGUGCGCUUGAAGUGGGGGGUGUGCUGUCCCUAUUGGAGGAACCCCUUCCCCAUAAGGCCCCACCGUCGGGGCAUAAGCGCCCUCUUGCUACCCAUACGCGAGGCGCCGUCUUAGCCUUCCCUGACCAGGAUCGCUCCCACACCUGUAGCGUUCGUGAUCGGCCUACUCAACUGUGUAUCGAUUGAAGGGCAGGAAUUUCCCACAACCAAAGGGAGUGGUUACGUCCAGUAUGUCCCCCCUUCUUCCCGACAUGCUAUGGUGCCCCGGGGUGGGUAGGAGCGGGUCGAGUCCGUAUCGCCGCGGAGCAACAGCCGCGUCCGGAUCAGAUCUAUCUACUCGGCAAUUCAUCCGGUGACUUCACGGUCGCCAAAGAAGCCCCUGGUCUUUGGUUCGUGUCGGUCUCUGGUUAUAAAUCUUGAUUGUGAAUUAUCUGUCGCCACUUAUGUGUCUGCUUGUAAAAAUGUAAAAGUCAUUUUGUGAUUCUUGUUUUAGCUAAUAAAUUAUUUUUAUAGAUAUAGAGAAACGAUUGUGGCUAGAAACAAAAGAUGUUUAAAUUCAUUCGUACGUUGUUUUCACUCAUCCUUAUCUAAGUCUUGUCAUCGUUCGUCUUUGUUUUCUAUGUUAGUUACAAUGGACCACUGUGCAUUUUCCUCGUGCUAAAAAUUGAAAUUCAAAUCAGUUACCAUAGAGUCUAAAGCCUAAAACACCAUCUUCUCAACUCAGCCCUCCCUGUACUAGAAACAAACCCAUAUCACGGGAAUUCAAAUCAGUUACCUUUAGUCUUUUUUACCACACAGGAUUUUUACUGCCACAUGCACCACGCUGUUUUAAAUUUAACCGCAUAAACUUCCUAUAAAUACCCGUACGUUGUGUUUGCUCUCUUCAACUCAACUCACUCAAACCCCAAAACACACACAAAACAAUCAAAAUGAAGACUUUUUUUCUAGUUACUCUCCUGUUGGCUGCAGCUGUCUGCACCCACGGCAGAGAACAGGUGAAGGACUCCAACGGAAAUCCAGUUAAGCGCGGUGCAAAAUACUUCAUCCAGCCGGCUAAGAGCAACGCCGGUGGUCUUGUUCCAGCCGCCAUUAACUUACUUCCGUUUUGUCCACUUGGCAUCACCCAGACACUUCUUCCCUACCAACCGGGCCUGCCGGUUAGCUUCGGAUAUGAGCCAGUUAUUGUCGGCACAGACUACAUUUACACAUCUACCACAAUAAACAUCGAGUUCGAGUCCGACAUCUGGCCCGUAUGCAACGAGCUUUCCAAGUUAUGGGCAGUCGAUGUUUCCUCAUCCGCUGCCAAGGAGCCUGCCAUUAUCAUCGGUGGUGAAAGUACGGCCCCAAAUAGCUUGUUUAAGAUAGAAGAAGCUACAGAAGCAAACACUUACAAGUUGACCACCUCGUACGGAACCGUUGGAACCAUCCCAGGGCCAUGGUUAAGUGCACCACAGCUGAUUGUCACCAAUGAUGAGUCUAAGACCUUAUUCGUCAAGUUCGUGAAAGUUGAUGAUGCUGCUACUAAGGCUACUACUUCUACUUCACGUGUUGAGAAGUUAGGUCUAAAGAUGUUCCCAUUCUACUAGUCAAAAUCAUGUAAUAUUGUAAAAAUCCUGAGACUCGUCCAUGGCCAUGAAUAACGGGUUGAGAUAAUACCCGCACGUAUGUAUGUAAGCUCGUUUUUA
RNAcentral lists this long non-coding RNA (25875 nucleotides) under Brassica napus (rape). RNAcentral describes it as "long non-coding RNA (BNAP_LNC019256)". The record is from RNAcentral. Lineage: Eukaryota; Viridiplantae; Streptophyta; Magnoliopsida; Brassicales; Brassicaceae.